ACGGCCCUCGUGAACAAUCCCACCUGCGAGUGUACCCACUCGGUCUCCAGUGUGAACCUGAGAGCGCCCAGA
This is a small nucleolar RNA of Trypanosoma vivax Y486, 72 nucleotides long. It matches the Rfam family "Trypanosomatid snoRNA TB11Cs3H1". Lineage: Eukaryota; Euglenozoa; Kinetoplastea; Trypanosomatida; Trypanosomatidae. The record is from Rfam.